AGCAGUUGCAGACAAACAAACAGCUCUGUGCCACCAGCCCUGAUCUGAAAGUCUUCCCUAACCAUCCUCACAAACUGAAGCUGGACCUGCCCUUGGACACAGCUAAAGGACAGCUGCUUCUCCUCUGAAGGUUAGCCAUACUCCUCCACUAGUGUUUGCUCUGGAAAGCAAUCAACCCUUUUGUUAGAGCAGCUGACAGUAGAUCCAGCGGUGGUCUCUUGGUUGCAUUUCCUUUCCAGGUUUAAGG
Oxyura jamaicensis (ruddy duck) is the source of this 247-nucleotide long non-coding RNA. RefSeq lists it as uncharacterized. The transcript has 3 exons. The record is from RefSeq and is a predicted model, not a curated record. Lineage: Eukaryota; Metazoa; Chordata; Aves; Anseriformes; Anatidae.